Molecule: long non-coding RNA, 873 nt
Filed under: Homo sapiens (human)
Lineage: Eukaryota; Metazoa; Chordata; Mammalia; Primates; Hominidae
Description: HSALNT0088847
Source: RNAcentral
AUUCCAGACACAAUAUCUUACUAGAGAAGUUUUAAUUUUGCUUUUUUUCAGAUAUCUCAGGGAUUCACUGCUCUGGAAUCAAUGUUUACAUUAAUUUUUUGGCUUAAUAACUCCUGCACCUGUGAGCAAUGAAAAUUUGCACUGCCUGUUGGUACAUGGUUUAUAGGCUUGGGAUUUGGAUUUUUUUUUUAACUGUAGACUUUUAUCUUUCUAUUCAGACCCCAUAAUAGAGAUAAACGUUCUGUGCCUUACCAUUUACUUUUCUCAGCCUGUGGCAAGAAGUUUGAAGUUUGUUGGGACACCUUUUCAUCAAGGAGGACUUGGCAGAAUCUAGUGCUGGUCCUGGAGCUAAGUCUUGAGAAGACCUGGAGGCUUCCACUUCUGCGCUUUUGGAAAUUCUGAGCUUCCGUGUUAGAAGAGUUGCUACCCUUCUGGAGAUACUACAUGGAAAGACCUCAUGAAGAGGCCAUAUGGAAAGGGAGAAGCCUUGUCCAACCAUCUCCACCAAGGUCCCAGGCAUAUGAGAGAGCCAACUUGGACAGUCUGGUCCUGUUGAGCCCCCAGAUGCCCACAGUCUCAGUUGACAACAUGUGGAGCAGAAGAACUGCCCAGAUGAGCCCAGCCAACCCAGUGAAUCAUGAGAAUAAGGAAAUGGUUUUUGCUUAAAGCUUUUGCUUUGAAGUGGUUCCUUAUGCAGCAGUAGAUAUCUGAAACAGGGGGCAUUGAUUAGGGACAUCAAGGCCCUAGGGGAUGGCAGAACUCCCAGAUGGAAGAAAGCUGGAUGUCUGAGUCAUGGCAAGGAGAGCCAUUCACCAACUAGGAAACCACGUAGAAAUAUUCCACAGGAGAAAUAAACUUUUGUUGUAUUUGAGC